Molecule: RNA transcript, 1956 nt
Organism: Ostrinia nubilalis (European corn borer)
Lineage: Eukaryota; Metazoa; Arthropoda; Insecta; Lepidoptera; Crambidae
Gene name: cell division control protein 45 homolog
Exons: 6
Source: RefSeq, a predicted model, not a curated record
UUUGACAGUUAAAGUUUGACCUUUUGACAAUCGCAGACAGCAGGUGUUUAUUUGUGGGUUUCUUUCGCCGAAAAUUGCCUGUUUUCACCAUGAAAAGAUGAUAUUUUGAUGAUCCUGGUGUUCUUUCGGUUCAAAGAUGUUCAUUGAAGACCUCAGGAAUGAUUUUUAUAACGUAUUACUUGGAAAUAGGGUUCUUCUGUUAGUGCAUUACGACGUAGACGCGAUAUGUGCGUGUAAGAUUCUCCAGGGAUUGUUUAAAUGUGAUAAUAUAUCGUAUACGUUGGUCCCAGUGGGGGGUGUGUCGGAGUUGAAGACAGCGUAUGAAGAAAACAAUGAGGAGAUCAAAUUCGUGGUGCUGGUGAACUGUGGCGGGACCAUAGACCUGGUGGAUAUCCUGCAGCCCGAGGAGGAUGUAGUAUUUUUUGUGUUGGACUCGCAUAAACCGACAGACAUUUGUAAUGUGUAUAGUGAUGGGCAGGUGAGACUAGUCUAUAAGGAUACUGAAGAAAACAUUCCUAAUUUUGAUGACAUUUUUAGAGAUGAUGAAGAAGAGGAACAGGAGCCCCAAGGCAGCGGCAUGGAAGCCCUGGAGGCAGCCGUGGAGAAGCGCCGCGAGAGGCGCGCGUGGGAGGAGCGCCGGCACACGCUCAUGUUCAACUACACACAGUUCUCCUACUAUGGGAAGCCCAGCGCGUGCGUAGCCCUGGACCUGGCCUGGCUAGUGUCGCGCUGCGGCGGCGCGGUUCUGUGGGCGGCGGCCGUGGGCGCGGCCUCGCACGAGGCGCUGCACGCGCGCCCGCCCGCCCAGGCGCUGCUGGACGCCGCCUCGCUGCACCGGCUCGUGGCGGGCGGGCAGCACGCGGCCGGCGACACCAAUGUGAGUGGCUCGCUGUCUACAUCCUGGCCUGGCUGGCACGCGGCCCGCCCGCCCAGGCGCUGCUGGACGCCGCCUCGCUGCACCGGCUCGUGGCGGGCGGGCAGCACGCGGCCGGCGACACCAAUGUGAGUGGCUCGCUGUCUACAUCCUGGCCUGGCUGGCACGCGGCCCGCCCGCCCAGGCGCUGCUGGACGCCGCCUCGCUGCACCGGCUCGUGGCGGGCGGGCAGCACGCGGCCGGCGACACCAAUGUGAGUGGCUCGCUGUCUACAUCCUGGCCUGGCUGGCACGCGGCCCGCCCGCCCAGGCGCUGCUGGACGCCGCCUCGCUGCACCGGCUCGUGGCGGGCGGGCAGCACGCGGCCGGCGACACCAAUGUGAGUGGCUCGCUGUCUACAUCCUGGCCUGGCUGGCACGCGGCCCGCCCGCCCAGGCGCUGCUGGACGCCGCCUCGCUGCACCGGCUCGUGGCGGGCGGGCAGCACGCGGCCGGCGACACCAAUGUGAGUGGCUCGCUGUCUACAUCCUGGCCUGGCUGGCACGCGGCCCGCCCGCCCAGGCGCUGCUGGACGCCGCCUCGCUGCACCGGCUCGUGGCGGGCGGGCAGCACGCGGCCGGCGACACCAAUGUGAGUGGCUCGCUGUCUACAUCCUGGCCUGGCUGGCACGCGGCCCGCCCGCCCAGGCGCUGCUGGACGCCGCCUCGCUGCACCGGCUCGUGGCGGGCGGGCAGCACGCGGCCGGCGACACCAAUGUGAGUGGCUCGCUGUCUACAUCCUGGCCUGGCUGGCACGCGGCCCGCCCGCCCAGGCGCUGCUGGACGCCGCCUCGCUGCACCGGCUCGUGGCGGGCGGGCAGCACGCGGCCGGCGACACCAAUGUGAGUGGCUCGCUGUCUACAUCCUGGCCUGGCUGGCACGCGGCCCGCCCGCCCAGGCGCUGCUGGACGCCGCCUCGCUGCACCGGCUCGUGGCGGGCGGGCAGCACGCGGCCGGCGACACCAAUUCGUACCGCGUGGUGCUAGAAAAGGACGUGUGGUUGCCGCUAUACCGUUCGUGGUCGGUGGAAGCGGCGCUACGCCACG